UACAGAGGUGGCAAGCGUUGUUCGGAAUUACUGGGCGUAAAGGGCGCGUAGGCGGCCUUCUAAGUCAGACGUGAAAUCCCCCGGCUUAACCUGGGAACUGCGUCUGAUACUGGAGGGCUUGAGUAUGGGAGAGGGAUGUAGAAUUCCAGGUGUAGCGGUGAAAUGCGUAGAUAUCUGGAGGAAUACCGGUGGCGAAGGCGGACUCCUGGACCAUACUGACGCUGAGGAGCGAAAGCCAGGGGAGCAAAGCGGG
RNAcentral lists this ribosomal RNA (253 nucleotides) under uncultured bacterium. Its description in RNAcentral is "partial 16S ribosomal RNA". It matches the Rfam family "Bacterial small subunit ribosomal RNA", at positions 524 to 777 of the family's 1533-position model. The record is from RNAcentral.